Molecule: non-coding RNA, 508 nt
Organism: Engraulis encrasicolus (European anchovy)
Lineage: Eukaryota; Metazoa; Chordata; Actinopteri; Clupeiformes; Engraulidae
Source: the annotation of a RefSeq genome assembly
AUGACUCCCAGACCCAUCUCACUACUGCUGUUACUGGCAGCUGCAUCCUGUGAGUCUGAUCAACUGGUGAACGUGGAAAGUGUGCAUUCGUCUGUUGACCUCACUCAGCCCAGCUCAAUGGUUGUCAGGCCUGGAGAGGAAAUGACCAUCAGCUGUAAGGUGGCUGGAUACUCACUGACCUCCUGCUGUACCUAUGCAACAGCGUGGAUCCGCCAGCCUGCAGGGAAAGCAUUGGAGUGGAUCAACCACAUUUAUGCAGAUGAUGAUAUCUACCAGGCAGAAUCCCUGAAGAGCAAGUUCAGCAUCUCUAGAGAUGCCUCCAGCAGCACUGUGACUCUGAGAGGCCAGAACAUGCAGCCUGGAGACUCUGCUGUCUACUACUGUGCCAGAUACUAUGACCACUGUGGUACCAACAAGUACAAGACUCAUACAAAAACUCAAUCCCAUGAAGAUUUCUCCCUGCUAGUUCCCUGAUUAGCCUGAAGAGGGCAGUAUGUGCAUUAGCUAC